GCGGCUAUAGCUCAGUGGUAGAGCGCCUGCUUGCCAAGCAGGAGGUCGAGGGUUCGAAUCCCUCUAGCCGCUCCA
This 75-nucleotide transfer RNA is filed under the name Caulobacter phage CcrBL9. RNAcentral describes it as "tRNA-Gly". It matches the Rfam family "tRNA". From Rfam's summary of the family: Transfer RNA (tRNA) molecules are approximately 80 nucleotides in length. The record is from RNAcentral. Lineage: Duplodnaviria; Heunggongvirae; Uroviricota; Caudoviricetes; Jeanschmidtviridae.